UAGGGAAUCUUCGGCAAUGGGGGGAACCCUGACCGAGCAACGCCGCGUGAGUGAAGAAGGUUUUUGGAUCGUAAAGCUCUGUUGUUAAGGAAGAACGAGUGUGAGAAUGGAAAGUUCAUGCUGUGACGGUACUUAACCAGAAAGGGACGGCUAACUACGUGCCAGCAGCCGCGGUAAUACGUAGGUCCCGAGCGUUGUCCGGAUUUAUUGGGCGUAAAGCGAGCGCAGGCGGUUAGAAAAGUCUGAAGUGAAAGGCAGUGGCUCAACCAUUGUAAGCUUUAGAAACUGUUUAACUUGAGUGCAGAAGGGGAGAGUGGAAUUCCAUGUGUAGCGGUGAAAUGCGUAGAUAUAUGGAGGAACACCGGUGGCGAAAGCGGCUCUCUGGUCUGUAACUGACGCUGAUGUGCGAAAGCGUGGGGAUCAAACAGG
This 429-nucleotide ribosomal RNA is filed under the name Bacteroidota bacterium. Its description in RNAcentral is "Bacteroidetes bacterium partial 16S ribosomal RNA". It matches the Rfam family "Bacterial small subunit ribosomal RNA", at positions 355 to 776 of the family's 1533-position model. The record is from RNAcentral. Lineage: Bacteria; Pseudomonadati; Bacteroidota.